RNAcentral lists this ribosomal RNA (256 nucleotides) under uncultured archaeon. RNAcentral's name for it is "partial 16S ribosomal RNA". It matches the Rfam family "Bacterial small subunit ribosomal RNA", at positions 521 to 776 of the family's 1533-position model. The record is from RNAcentral.
UAAUACGUAGGAUGCAAGCGUUGUUCGGAAUUACUGGGCGUAAAGCGUACGUAGGUGGUAUCAUAAGUCCGUUAUUAAAGACCGAAGCUCAACUUCGGGAAUGUAAUGGAAACUAUGGAACUAGAGGUCAAUAGGGGGAGUCGGAAUUCUCAGUGUAGCGGUGAAAUGCGUAGAUAUUGGGAAGAACACCGGAAGCGAAAGCGGACUCCUGGGUUGAAACUGACGCUGAGGUACGAAGGCGUGGGGAGCAAACGGG